Molecule: ribosomal RNA, 460 nt
Filed under: uncultured bacterium
Lineage: Bacteria
Description: partial 16S ribosomal RNA
Rfam family: Bacterial small subunit ribosomal RNA
Source: RNAcentral
CCUACGGGAGGCAGCAGUGAGGAAUAUUGGUCAAUGGACGAGAGUCUGAACCAGCCAAGUCGCGUGAAGGAUGACUGCCCUAUGGGUUGUAAACUUCUUUUAUAUGGGAAUAAAACGUUCCACGUGUGGGAUUUUGUAUGUACCAUAUGAAUAAGGAUCGGCUAACUCCGUGCCAGCAGCCGCGGUAAUACAGAGGAUCCGAGCGUUAUCCGGAUUCAUUGGGUUUAAAGGGAGCGUAGGUGGAUUGUUAAGUCAGUUGUGAAAGUUUGCGGCUCAACCGUAAAAUUGCAGUUGAAACUGGCAGUCUUGAGUACAGUAGAGGUAGGCGGAAUGCGUGGUGUAGCGGUGAAAUGCUUAGAUAUCACGAAGAACUCCGAUUGCGAAGGCAGUUCACUGGACUGCAACUGACACUGAGGCACGAAAGUGUGGGUAUCAAACAGGAUUAGAUACCCGAGUAGUC